AACCGGAACGACAGGUGCUGCAUGGCUGUCGUCAGCUCGUGUCGUGAGAUGUUGGGUUAAGUCCCGCAACGAGCGCAACCCUUGUCAUUAGUUGCCAUCAUUUGGUUGGGCACUCUAAUGAGACUGCCGGUGACAAACCGGAGGAAGGUGGGGGAUGACGUCAAGUCCUCAUGGCCCUUAUGGGUAGGGCUUCACACGUCAUACAAUGGUCGGUACAGAGGGUUGUCAACCCGCGAGGGGGAGCUAAUCCCACAAAGCCGAUCGUAGUCCGGAUCGCAGUCUGCAACUCGACUGCGUGAAGUCGGAAUCGCUAGUAAUCGUGGAUCAGCAUGUCACGGUGAAUACGUUCCCGGGUCUU
Molecule: ribosomal RNA, 358 nt
Filed under: uncultured Rhodocyclaceae bacterium
Lineage: Bacteria; Pseudomonadati; Pseudomonadota; Betaproteobacteria; Rhodocyclales; Rhodocyclaceae
Description: bacterial SSU rRNA
Rfam family: Bacterial small subunit ribosomal RNA
Source: RNAcentral